UGAGUCAACUGAAGCAGAUAAUGCUAAAAUACAGGUAAAAAUACGUCAUGCUCUCACUGUCAUUCAGCGUUGACAACAGAAAUGUGUUCGCAAAGUCUGCUGCUGAUACUGCUUCUCUGCGUCUUUUACUGCUACACGCAAGAGAUCACACUAACUCAAAAUGAAAUAAAAAGUAUAAUGAACGAAUCGAUGAUACUAUCGACUGCCAUGGCUUGCUUUGUGUUUUUAGUCUUAAUUGUGCUAGUUCCUACGAUAUUAUAUUAUAGGUACUGCUCUAAAAGAGAAAUUGAAGUACCAAUAAAUUGAAAUAUCGUCCAUAUUGGUGAUUGCAGACUGCAAUUAUUUUUUUCAGCUAAAUUGUAUUAUUAAAUAGAUAUAAGCAUUCUAUGUCACAUAUUAAGAUUAAAAAAGAAUUGAAAAUAAUCAAACUUUUUAUCGCAAAACGGCUGUAUGCCGCUGUUAAUCCGCAUAUUUAUUCAAUAAAUAUACAUAAAUUAACACAUUCGCAUAAACUAGUAUGAAUUUUAUAAUUAAUCCGUCAAUCUCAUUUUAUAACUCGUUAUUAGCAAAACCGCGCGAACAGACUGCUCUGUUAAAUUUCGAUUCGAUCAAAUGCAAAAUAUAAGAGGGCAGUGUAUUUUGUAUGAUAAACUCACACAAAAUGAUCAAUUAUGUAUACAACAUAUGUAUUUUAUUUACUUGUUAGC
Camponotus floridanus (Florida carpenter ant) is the source of this 707-nucleotide long non-coding RNA. RefSeq lists it as uncharacterized. NCBI's taxonomy places the organism in Eukaryota, Metazoa, Arthropoda, Insecta, Hymenoptera, Formicidae. The transcript is spliced from 3 exons. The record is from RefSeq and is a predicted model, not a curated record.